Labrus bergylta (ballan wrasse) is the source of this 345-nucleotide non-coding RNA. Lineage: Eukaryota; Metazoa; Chordata; Actinopteri; Labriformes; Labridae. The record is from RefSeq and is a predicted model, not a curated record.
GAACAGAGCGCCCCCCCGGCAGAAAGUGACUUCUGCUCCACCACUCAGAGGGAUUUCUGUGUGGAGGGGUUUGUGCCGCUCACACCUGAACUAACACAAGCUCACGAUUAUAAAUCUGACGCAGGGGUUACAUUCUGGAGCGAAAACCGCCAUCAGAUACAUGGUGUGACCGCCGUGCAGACCCUGGAAGCUCCCUUCAGGAAGUCAGCCAAGUUCAGCACACCCAUUAGUGAGCGUCUGGACGAACCUGAGCUCCCACCUGAUAACUGAGACAGUAUGACACAUGAUCAAAUUUCAUCUAUUCAUUAUGGGUUCAAAUUAAAGAGCUAUUAAAUGUUCAUCUCA